RNAcentral lists this ribosomal RNA (253 nucleotides) under uncultured bacterium. Its description in RNAcentral is "partial 16S ribosomal RNA". It matches the Rfam family "Bacterial small subunit ribosomal RNA", at positions 524 to 776 of the family's 1533-position model. The record is from RNAcentral.
UACGUAGGGACCAAGCGUUGUUCGGAUUUACUGGGCGUAAAGGGCGCGUAGGCGGCAUGACAAGUCACUUGUGAAAUCUCUGGGCUUAACCCGGAAACUGCCGUUGAUACUAUCUGUCUUGAAUGUAGUGGAGGUGAGCGGAAUAUGUCAUGUAGCGGUGAAAUGCUUAGAUAUGACAUAGAACAUCGAUUGCGAAGGCAGCUCGCUACACUAUUAUUGACACUGAGGCACGAAAGCGUGGGGAUCAAACAGG